This 76-nucleotide transfer RNA is filed under the name Escherichia coli TX1999. Its description in RNAcentral is "tRNA-Thr". It matches the Rfam family "tRNA". From Rfam's summary of the family: Transfer RNA (tRNA) molecules are approximately 80 nucleotides in length. Their secondary structure includes four short double-helical elements and three loops (D, anti-codon, and T loops). The record is from RNAcentral. Lineage: Bacteria; Pseudomonadati; Pseudomonadota; Gammaproteobacteria; Enterobacterales; Enterobacteriaceae.
GCUGAUAUGGCCCAGUUGGUAGAGCGCACCCUUGGUAAGGGUGAGGUCCCCAGUUCGACUCUGGGUAUCAGCACCA